ACAUUUCCACACUACUAAUGUUUCCAGAUGGAUGUAUCUAUGUGUAUCUAGAGGCUACUUAUGGCAGGAAAAUUUCCAGACCAUGUUCAUAUGUCAUAGUGCACUUGAGCACAUAAACUUUUCCCCUAGCUGGGUCUGUCAGAUGGCGCAUGAGAUGUUGAUCCUGAGAUAAGUCUUUUCACAUGGCUCAGUUUUUUGUAACCUUUAACUCUAUUAAAUGUUACUUAGCUUAACUUUUAA
Molecule: long non-coding RNA, 240 nt
Organism: Hemicordylus capensis (graceful crag lizard)
Lineage: Eukaryota; Metazoa; Chordata; Lepidosauria; Squamata; Cordylidae
Exons: 2
Source: RefSeq, a predicted model, not a curated record